UGAUGAGACAAGGAUGCGAAAGUGUUUCCAACUUGUCAUGACAUCAAAGCCUCUGUUGUACAUGUGUCAAGGAUGAGAUUCACAUGAUAAUUUGUUUUGUUUGGGCCUUAUGCUGUACUGUAUACAACUGAAUUACUUUUUGUGUUUUAUGAUUUAGUCAGUAGCCAAUCAAUGUCAGUGAUAAUAUGUAUCUUGUGAUUCUUUCUUCGUGUGCCGGUCAUGGUUCCCUGAUGCGGUUUAGAUUUGUGAUUCCCUGACGAGGUUCCCUCACACACGCAGGUGCACGACAGAGCCGGCUGCGUGUGGUGCGUGCGGGGGGAUUCUUCUUCCACUCUGGCAAUCUGAGAGCAGCCAAGCAAGGUUAUUGAGAUAUGUAUCUUGCGAUUCUUUGUGUGCCGGUUACAUCUGCGGGUACGGCUGCACGAGUUCAUGUCUGUCAUUCACACAUGCAAAUUGUGAUGCCUGCUGCUUGCGACAGUUUCGCCCCUGUUCUUCUUCUACUCCGGCAAGAUGGUCCACGACAGAGCCGGCUACAUGUUGUGUGUGUGUGCGCGCGGGGGGGGGGGGGGGGGGUCUCUUCCC
Triticum urartu is the source of this 582-nucleotide non-coding RNA. The record is from RefSeq and is a predicted model, not a curated record. NCBI's taxonomy places the organism in Eukaryota, Viridiplantae, Streptophyta, Magnoliopsida, Poales, Poaceae.